This 30-nucleotide non-coding RNA is filed under the name Mus musculus (house mouse). The record is from RNAcentral. Lineage: Eukaryota; Metazoa; Chordata; Mammalia; Rodentia; Muridae.
UUUUAAACUCCGCCUACGUGUGCAUGUGUC